RNAcentral lists this ribosomal RNA (404 nucleotides) under Fusobacteriota bacterium. RNAcentral's name for it is "Fusobacteria bacterium partial 16S ribosomal RNA". It matches the Rfam family "Bacterial small subunit ribosomal RNA", at positions 355 to 776 of the family's 1533-position model. Lineage: Bacteria; Fusobacteriati; Fusobacteriota. The record is from RNAcentral.
UGGGGAAUAUUGCACAAUGGGCGAAAGCCUGAUGCAGCGACGCCGCGUGAGUGAAGAAGUAUUUCGGUAUGUAAAGCUCUAUCAGCAGGGAAGAAAAUGACGGUACCUGACUAAGAAGCCCCGGCUAACUACGUGCCAGCAGCCGCGGUAAUACGUAGGGUGCAAGCGUUAUCCGGAUUUACUGGGUGUAAAGGGAGCGUAGACGGCGAAGCAAGUCUGAAGUGAAAACCCAGGGCUCAACCCUGGGACUGCUUUGGAAACUGUUUUGCCAGAGUGUCGGAGAGGUAAGUGGAAUUCCUAGUGUAGCGGUGAAAUGCGUAGAUAUUAGGAGGAACACCAGUGGCGAAGGCGGCUUACUGGACGAUAACUGACGUUGAGGCUCGAAAGCGUGGGGAGCAAACAGG